AUUACUACAACACCAGUUGCAGGUACAGGUAAAGGUUACUUGACGCGAGCGCGUUGAUUGUUCACUUGGAGUUGCUUCUUCUUCUUCUUCUUCUUCAUCGAUCUAGGAUGGGUUCCAGGCCAACAGCCUGGGAUAGCAAGGAUGGACGUCGUUCUUCUUUUGUCGUUUGUUUUCGUCCGUAGUCGGACCCUGCUCUUACUCUUGAUGAUUAUGUAAUGUACUCAUGUGACUCUGAUGUAGCUUGUGGCGAGUGUAAGCC
Molecule: long non-coding RNA, 259 nt
Filed under: Hordeum vulgare
Lineage: Eukaryota; Viridiplantae; Streptophyta; Magnoliopsida; Poales; Poaceae
Description: long non-coding RNA (HVUL_LNC014022)
Source: RNAcentral